Molecule: ribosomal RNA, 465 nt
Filed under: uncultured bacterium
Lineage: Bacteria
Description: partial 16S ribosomal RNA
Rfam family: Bacterial small subunit ribosomal RNA
Source: RNAcentral
CUACGGGCGGCUGCAGUGGGGAAUAUUGGACAAUGGGGGAAACCCUGAUCCAGCAAUGCCGCGUGUGUGAAGAAGGCCUGCGGGUUGUAAAGCACUUUCGGUUGGGAGGACUGCUUCUAGCACUAAUAUUGUUGGAAGUUGACGUUACCUUCAGAAGAAGCACCGGCUAACGCCGUGCCAGCAGCCGCGGUAAUACGGAGGGUGCAAGCGUCAAUCGGAAUUACUGGGCGUAAAGCGCGCGUAGGCGGCUAGAUCAGUCGGGUGUGAAAGCCCCGGGCUUAACCUGGGAACUGCAUCCGAUACUGUCUAGCUUGAGUACAGGAGAGGAGAGUGGAAUUCCACAUGUAGCGGUGAAAUGCGUAGAUAUGUGGAGGAACACCAAUGGCGAAGGCAGCUCUCUGGCCUGAUACUGACGCUGAGGUGCGAAAGCGUGGGGAGCAAACAGGAUUAGAUACCCUAGUAGUC